UGCCAGCCGCCGCGGUAAUACGUAGGGUGCGAGCGUUGUCCGGAAUUAUUGGGCGUAAAGAGCUCGUAGGCGGUCUGUCGCGUCGGAUGUGAAAGCCCGGGGCUUAACUCCGGGUCUGCAUUCGAUACGGGCAGACUAGAGUGUGGUAGGGGAGAUCGGAAUUCCUGGUGUAGCGGUGAAAUGCGCAGAUAUCAGGAGGAACACCGGUGGCGAAGGCGGAUCUCUGGGCCAUUACUGACGCUGAGGAGCGAAAGCGUGGGGAGCGAACAGGAUUAGAUA
RNAcentral lists this ribosomal RNA (279 nucleotides) under uncultured bacterium. Its description in RNAcentral is "partial 16S ribosomal RNA". It matches the Rfam family "Bacterial small subunit ribosomal RNA", at positions 506 to 784 of the family's 1533-position model. The record is from RNAcentral.